Nicotiana tabacum (common tobacco) is the source of this 3293-nucleotide non-coding RNA. Lineage: Eukaryota; Viridiplantae; Streptophyta; Magnoliopsida; Solanales; Solanaceae. The record is from RefSeq and is a predicted model, not a curated record.
AGGAAGAAGCAAAGAGGGUUUGCUUUUGUUGGCUCGAUGAGUGAGCUGAUAUUUGCUGCUUCCAAUUGGGUAUAAAUACGUAGCCCAUCUCCCUACGUUUUCUCUGUAAACCCUUAGAGAGCUUCAGCCCCCCAUUUAUUAUUCUCUUUUUCUUUGAAAUCUGAAAGGGAAAGAGAAGCAGAAAAAGAAAUGGGAGAGAAGCCAAAAUCUGGAGGUGUUUGGCCCACUGUUAAGCCCUUCGUUAAUGGAGGUGCUUCUGGUAUGCUUACCACCUGUGUUAUUCAGCCCAUCGAUAUGAUUAAGGUGAGGAUACAAUUGGGUCAGGGAUCAGCAGUUGACGUCACCAAGACAGAUGCUUAAAAAUGAAGGCUUUGGUGCCUUUUACAAGGGUUUGUCAGCUGGGCUUCUUAGGCAGGCAACCUAUACAACAGCCAGACUUGGGUCAUUCAGAGAUACAGUCUGAAUAAAUGUGAUUCUAUAGAUGAGAUAUCACUUGAGUUGGUCCCAAGAGCACACAUUUUGUGGGUAGAAAGUUGCCACGGCCUUACCAUGCUUCUGAUUCCCAAUGGGACUGAAGAUCUCAUAAUAAAAAAAUGUGAGAAUCUUGAAAUACUUUCGGUGGCUCAAACGACGUUGUUGGGUACUUUGGAUAUUAGCAACUGCGAGAAGCUGAAGUCGCUGCCAGAACAUAUGCAGGAACUCCUUCCAUCUCUUAAGAAACUAGAACUACUAAAUUGUCCAAAAUUAGAGUCCUUUCCUGAAGUAGGAUUGCCCUUCAAUUUAGAAGUCCUUAAGAUCGUUGAUUGUAAGAAACUGGUGAAUGUGCAAAUGGAGUGGGGUUUACAGAGACUCCCCUGUCUCAGAAAGUUAACCAUCUCCCAUGAUGGUACUGACGAAGAAAUUCCAGCUGGUGAAAAUUGGGAGUUGCCUUGCUCUAUUUGAACUCUUUCGAUAGACAAUCUGAAAACAUUAAGCAGCCAUGUUCUCAAAAGCCUUACCUCUCUUGAAUAUCUAGAUACUAAAAAUUUACCUCAAAUUCAGUCACUGUUGGAAGAGAAGGGCUUCCCUCGUCUCUUUCUGAGCUUGCAUUAAAUCGCCACGAUGAGCUCCAUUCACUACCGACCAAAGGUCUUCGGCGCCUUACCUCACUUCGAAGCCUACAUAUCUGGAAUUUGAGAAGGGGGAUUACUGGCCAAAUAUUGCUCAUAUUCCCAACAUAGUGAUCGAUUGGGAAUACCUGUGAUGAUUAAAACGAAGGUGGUCUAACAGAUUGAAGAGUCUAUUACCACUAUGAAACACAGGAAGCAUCUUCACUUUGGGAUGAACGGUGAUAUGUUGCAGCUACAUAAAUCUUUAUAUCUGCGCUAAAACAUUGUAAGAGAAACCAGUAAGUUGAGCAAGGAGGAGGUGGUUUAGAGUAAUGCACAUGUCCACUAUUGAGUGCGAAGCUCUAACAGAAUUAAAAGGAUUUGGGUAGCAAUAUGCAAGCUAUUACCGCUCUUAGCUCCAUUGGUGAAUGGAAAGUUCAUGUCUCAACAAUAAAGAAGAAAAAUAAGACACGGACUUUCACAUGAAUGUGGACCACUUAAAUGAAGAAGUAACUUACACAUCUCAGAUAUAAGGAAGAGUUUCUGUCUGCAGUUGAAGUCUCACAUUAAUGGCCUGUUUCUCAGUUUGAGAAAGAAAAGCUGUAUAAGUAUUAAUUCUUAUGUUGAGCAUCGACAGUUUUGAUUAAAUGACGGGGAAAGACUAUGUCCUCUUUGAGCAUUUAUUCUCUGCUGAUUUUCAAUCGUGCCAAGUUUUUUAGACCAGAUCUUGUUGCUCUAUAUGGGAAGGAAAAGCUGGGCAGAAAGUUGUCAAGGAUCAUUCUUCUGUGAAAUGUCCCUCUAGCCAAGGGCAUUAUGAUUGGCAGCUGGAAUUUAGGCCCUCGGUUUCCCAUGUGGCUCAAAACUCAACAAAAAAAGAUAAGGUAUAUUGACAUAUCAAAUGGUAGAAUAGAAGGUGAAGUUCCAACUUGGUUUUGGAACUUAUCUUCUGAAAUUCUAUUUCUCAAUCUUUCUAACAACCAAUUUGUUGGUGAGGUUCCAACCAUCUUACUACUAGCUUGGUCAGAUGUGGGACAAUCAAUGUUUUUGAGUUUUGACAAUUUCAGUGGUCCUAUAUUUCGAGUUUAUCAACUUUGAGCCUCUUGAAUUUGUCUUAUAACAAUUUAACAGGAAAGAUAUAUGUGAGCACUCAAUUUCAAAGCUUUAAUCCUUCAGGUUUUCAAGGAAACAAUCUUUGCGGGUUUCCACUCUUGGUGAGCUGCAGUUCAGGUGGUCAAAUUCCUAAUGUUGAUACUGAAAAGUAUGAGAGAUGAAGAUAAAUUGGAUUGGUUCUACAUUUCAAUGGUAAUAGGAUGUGGUCUAAGCUUUUGGGGAGUAUGUUCGUAUUUGAUUUUCUAGAGAUUAUAGUGACAUGCCUAUUAUCGUUUUUUAGAUAGUACUUGGGAAUCCUCAACUUGUCCGAAACAUGAAACAUCUAAUUUUUCAGAAUAGCAAUAUCAUUAGUCAUCUCUCUCCCUAUAUUUGUAACUUUACACAUAAGGACUUUCCAACUGCUAUCUAAAAAACGAUAAUAGGCAUGUCUCCAUGAUCUCUUGAAAAUCAUAGACGAGCAUACUCCCCUAAAGCUAAGACCAAAUCCUAUUGCCAUUGAAAUGUAGAACCACUCCAAUUCGCCUUCAUCACUCUCAUCCUUUUCAGUAUCGACAUCAGGAGUUUGAUCACCUGAACUGCAAUUCACCAUGAGUGGAAGCCUGGAAAGUUUGUUUCCUUGGAAACCUGAGGGAAUAAAGCUUUGAAGUUGAGUGCUCACAUGUAUCGUUCCUGUUCAAUUGUUAUAAGACAAAUUCAAGAAGCUCGUAGUUGACGAACUUGGAAAGGUUUGUGGGAUUCGACCAGAGAGUUGAUUCCGGAAAGGCCAACAAAUUCCAUUGAAAUAUAGAAUGAAGUAGAGACGUCUCUAAUCUUGUCUUGGCUUUGCCAACUAAUUAUGGACUGCUCUACACUGGCACUGGGCGCACUCUACUUAAGUAUGUGAAGGGUAUGCUGUAUAUGCACCUAACCAGUAGUAAAUUAGGCCUUUUGUACUCUGAUUCUAUGUUUUUGCCUACGGAAUGUUCAAGACAGAAAUAACUAUUCGACUUCUGUAUUAAAUUUUUUGAUUUGUUGGAUAUGAUGUUUGGUCUUAGUGUUAAAGCAAACUUGUAAGACGGAAUGUUUCCAUAGUGGUUGAGAAUGCUUUCCUAUUUA